This 66-nucleotide small nucleolar RNA is filed under the name Leishmania donovani. RNAcentral describes it as "H/ACA box snoRNA LD26Cs1H8". It matches the Rfam family "Trypanosomatid snoRNA TB9Cs1H3". Lineage: Eukaryota; Euglenozoa; Kinetoplastea; Trypanosomatida; Trypanosomatidae. The record is from RNAcentral. RNAcentral also lists the same sequence under 1 other name.
CCAACGCACUAUUGCUCCCGCUGCUGCGUGUCGAUGAGCAGCGGGUUCCUGAGGUGCGUGAGAUGC